GUAACUCAAAUUUGUAUGCAGUUGAAACAGCGCCUCUAGCGGAAAACGUAGGCAGACGUUCCAACUCCAUACAAAUUUGAUUAA
Molecule: microRNA precursor, 84 nt
Filed under: Bombyx mori (domestic silkworm)
Lineage: Eukaryota; Metazoa; Arthropoda; Insecta; Lepidoptera; Bombycidae
Description: mir-2807 microRNA precursor family
Rfam family: mir-2807 microRNA precursor family
Source: Rfam by way of RNAcentral